GGGUGAUACAUUGUUACUUCAGGAGUAGGUAUUUCGUCCCUAUUAUUUGGAAUAUGAUCACAUUCAAUCAGUACAGGAAGGUCAAACUUGUCAUUACCAUUGAUUGAUUCCAUGAUGAAACCUCUUCCUCUUUUCCCGGAAGUGACUACUUUGCCGGAGCAUGUUGAUAAAGUAUAGUUCUCCGGUUUAUCUUUGACGUCGAAA
This 204-nucleotide long non-coding RNA is filed under the name Mytilus galloprovincialis (Mediterranean mussel). The record is from RNAcentral. Lineage: Eukaryota; Metazoa; Mollusca; Bivalvia; Mytilida; Mytilidae.